GACGAACGCUGGCGGCGUGCUUAACACAUGCAAGUCGAGCGGUAAGGCCCUUUCGGGGGUACACGAGCGGCGAACGGGUGAGUAACACGUGGGUGACCUGCCCUCAGCUCUGGGAUAAGCCUGGGAAACUGGGUCUAAUACCGGAUAUGACUCCAUGACGCAUGUUGUGGGGUGGAAAGCCUUGUGCGGCUGAGGAUGGGCCCGCGGCCUAUCAGCUUGUUGGUGGGGUGAUGGCCUACCAAGGCGACGACGGGUAGCCGGCCUGAGAGGGCGACCGGCCACACUGGGACUGAGACACGGCCCAGACUCCUACGGGAGGCAGCAGUGGGGAAUCUUGCGCAAUGGGCGAAAGCCUGACGCAGCGACGCCGCGUGAGGGAGGACGGCCU
RNAcentral lists this ribosomal RNA (388 nucleotides) under uncultured bacterium. RNAcentral's name for it is "bacterial SSU rRNA". It matches the Rfam family "Bacterial small subunit ribosomal RNA", at positions 28 to 417 of the family's 1533-position model. The record is from RNAcentral.